RNAcentral lists this ribosomal RNA (421 nucleotides) under uncultured bacterium. Its description in RNAcentral is "bacterial SSU rRNA". It matches the Rfam family "Bacterial small subunit ribosomal RNA", at positions 355 to 773 of the family's 1533-position model. The record is from RNAcentral.
UAAGGAAUAUUGGUCAAUGGAGGGAACUCUGAACCAGCCAUGCCGCGUGCAGGAAGACGGCUCUCUGGGUUUUAACCUGCUUUUAUUCGGGAAUAAACCUAUUUACGUGUAAAUAUCUGAAUGUACCGAAGGAAUAAGGAUCGGCUAACUCCGUGCCAGCAGCCGCGGUAAUACGGAGGAUCCAAGCGUUAUCCGGAUUCAUUGGGUUUAAAGGGUGCGUAGGCGGCUUAUUAAGUCAGGGGUGAAAGACGGUGGCUCAACCAUCGAAGUGCCCUUGAUACUGAUAGGCUUGAAUGGACUAGAGGUAGGCGGAAUGGGACGAGUAGCGGUGAAAUGCAUAGAUAUGUCACAGAACACCGAUGGCGAAGGCAGCUUACUAUGGUUGUAUUGACGCUGAGGCACGAAAGCGUGGGGAGCAAAC